This 347-nucleotide unclassified non-coding RNA is filed under the name fungal sp. RNAcentral describes it as "partial internal transcribed spacer region". The stretch from base 1 to 46 matches the Rfam family "Eukaryotic small subunit ribosomal RNA", at positions 1786 to 1831 of the family's 1831-position model. Lineage: Eukaryota; Fungi. The record is from RNAcentral.
AAGUCGUAACAAGGUUUCCGUAGGUGAACCUGCGGAAGGAUCAUUAACACGUAUCCAACGUUAAAAACACCCCUGUGAACCCGUUAAUCUUGCUCCUCACGCCCUGCACGCCUAGCAAUCCCUGGUAAAUCAUUGUCUGAACAGAUUUUGAGUCAGACGUGACGCGAAGAAUGGCAUUGAUACUCCAUCUGCGUGGGAUGUUUGCGACGUAGCAAAUCACUUGGCUCCCCAAGCAACCAUGUUCUAAAAGCGGCUCAUGGAAGCGUAACGAGACGCUGUAACGUUUUGCCCACACGGCUGGCAAUCCAAGUGGUUGUACUUCGGUACCCCUACAUCGGCACACCACC